UUCUUAUCCCAUUUGAGACCAAAUAUCAACAAGUCUUUCUUCUCACUUCUAAACAUUCUUCAUGUAUCUCUAGCACUUGUAAUCAAUCAAAUUCAUUGUAUUAUAACAUAUUCUAACCCAAAAUAACUUAAUCCAAGCCAUUCACUGCCUCAAAGCAAUUGUUUUGGGUUCUUAUCCCAUUUGGGACCAAAUAUCAACAAGUCUUUCUUCUUACUUUUAAACAUUCUUCAUGCAUCUCUAGCACUUGUAAUCAAUCAAAUUCAUUGUAUUAUAACAUAUUCUAACCAAAAAUAAAUUUAUACAAGCCAUUCACUUCCUCAAAGUAAUGGUUUUGGGUUCUUAUCCCAUUUGUGACCAAAUAUGAACAAGUCUUUCUUCUCACUUCUUAACAUUUUUCAUGUAUCUCUAGCACUUGUAAUCAAUAGCACCUGUAAUCAAUCAAAUUCAUUGUAUUAUUACAUAUUCUAACCCAAAAUAACUUAAUCCAAGCCAUUCACUGCCUCAAAGCAAUGGUUUUGGGUUCUUAUCCCAUUUGUGACCAAAUAUCAACAAGUCUUUCUUCUCACUUUUAAACAUUUUUCAUGCAUCUCUAGCACUUGUAAUCAAUCAAAUUCAUUGUAUUAUAACAUAUUCUAACCAAAAAUAACUUUAUCCAAGCCAUUCACUGCCUCAAAGCAAUGGUUUUGGGUUCUUAUCCCAUUUGUGACCAAAUAUCAACAAGUCUUUCUUGUCACUUUUAAACAUUCUUCAUGCAUCUCUAGCACUUGUAAUCAAUCAAAUUCAUUGUAUUAUAACAUAUUCUAACCCAAAAUAACUUAAUCCAAGCCAUUCACUGCCUCAAAGCAAUGGUUUUGGGUUCUUAUCCCAUUUGGGACCAAAUAUCAACAAGUCUUUCUUCUCACUUUUAAACAUUCUUCAUGCAUCUCUAGCACUUGUAAUCAAUCAAAUUCAUUGUAUUAUAACAUAUUCUAACCCAAAAUAACUUUAUACACACCAUUCACUGCCUCAAAGCAAUGGUUUUGGGUUCUUAUCCCAUUUAUGACCAAAUAUCAACAAGUCUUUCUUCUCACUUUUAAACAUUCUUCAUGCAUCUCUAGCACUUGUAAUCAAUCAAAUUCAUUGUAUUAUAACAUAUUCUAACCCAAAAUAACUUUNNN
RNAcentral lists this long non-coding RNA (1157 nucleotides) under Capsella rubella. RNAcentral's name for it is "long non-coding RNA (CRUB_LNC005016)". The record is from RNAcentral. Lineage: Eukaryota; Viridiplantae; Streptophyta; Magnoliopsida; Brassicales; Brassicaceae.